CACGAGAAACCUUGACUGAAGAUAGGGGGACCAUCCUCUAAGGCUAAAUACUCCUUACCGACCGAUAGUGAACCAGUACUGUGAAGGAAAGGCGAAAAGAACCCCGGAGAGGGGAGUGAAAUAGAACCUGAAACCGCAUACGUACAAGCAGUAGGAGCCUCCUUUGAGGGGUGACUGCGUACCUUUUGUAUAAUGGGUCAGCGACUUAAUUUUAGUAGCAAGGUUAACCGACUAGGGGAGCCGUAGCGAAAGCGAGUCUUAAUAGGGCGUCAAGUUGCUAGGAUUAGACCCGAAACCGAGCGAUCUAUCCAUGGCCAGGUUGAAGGUUGAGUAACAUCAACUGGAGGACCGAACCCACUUAUGUUGAAAAAUGAGGGGAUGAGCUGUGGAUCGGAGUGAAAGGCUAAUCAAGCUCGGAGAUAGCUGGUUCUCCUCGAAAUCUAUUUAGGUAGAGCCUCGCAUAUAACUGUUGGGGGUAGAGCACUGUUAUGGCUAGAGGGCCUUGAUCGGCUUAUCAACCCAUUGCAAACUCCGAAUACCAACAAGUUCAGUGCGGGAGACACACAGUGGGUGCUAACGUCCAUUGUGGAAAGGGAAACAACCCAGACCAUCAGCUAAGGUCCCAAAAUCAUAUCUCAGUGGGAAACGAUGUGGGAAGGCAUAGACAGCUAGGAGGUUGGCUUAGAAGCAGCCAUCCUUUAAAGAAAGCGUAAUAGCUCACUAGUCGAGUCGGCCUGCGCGGAAGAUUUAACGGGGCUAAAGAUAUGUACCGAAGCUAUGGGAUUACACUAUGUGUAAUCGGUAGAGGAGCGUUCUGUAAGCGGUUGAAGGUGUGUUGUAAAGCAUGCUGGACGUAUCAGAAGUGCGAAUGCUGACAUGAGUAACGAUAAGACGGGUGAAAAACCCGUCCGCCGAAAACCCAAGGUUUCCUGCGCAACGCUAAUCGGCGCAGGGUUAGUCGGAUCCUAAGGCGAGGCCGAGAGGCGUAGUCGAUGGAAAACAGGUUAAUAUUCCUGUACCGCUUAUUACUGCGAUGGGGUGACGGAGAAGGUUAAGCCAGAACACAGUUGGUUUUGUGUAUCUAAGCGCAAAGAUGUGAGACUUAGGAAAAUCCGGGUCUCUUUAACAUUGAAACGUGAAUGCGACGGUCUUACGAGACUGGAGUGGCUGACACCCUGCUUCCAAGAAAACCCUCUAAGCUAUAGGUAGUAAGUGACCGUACCCCAAACCAACACAGGUGGGUGGGAUGAGAAUUCUAAGGCGCUUGAGAGAACUCUGGUGAAGGAACUAGGCAAAAUGGUACCGUAACUUCGGGAGAAGGUACGCCCUCGACGGUUCACGCUGUUGAGGGCCACAGAAACUAGGUGGCUGCGACUGUUUAACAAAAACACAGCACUCUGCAAACUCGAAAGAGGACGUAUAGGGUGUGACGCCUGCCCGGUGCCGGAAGGUUAAUUGAUGGGGUUAUCUUCGGAGAAGCUCUUGAUCGAAGCCCCGGUAAACGGCGGCCGUAACUAUAACGGUCCUAAGGUAGCGAAAUUCCUUGUCGGGUAAGUUCCGACCUGCACGAAUGGCGUAACGAUGGCCACACUGUCUCCACCCGAGACUCAGUGAAAUUGAAAUUGCGGUGAAGAUGCCGUAUACCCGCGGCUAGACGGAAAGACCCCGUG
RNAcentral lists this ribosomal RNA (1670 nucleotides) under uncultured bacterium. RNAcentral's name for it is "bacterial LSU rRNA". It matches the Rfam family "Bacterial large subunit ribosomal RNA", at positions 423 to 2095 of the family's 2925-position model. The record is from RNAcentral.